This 467-nucleotide ribosomal RNA is filed under the name uncultured bacterium. RNAcentral describes it as "partial 16S ribosomal RNA". It matches the Rfam family "Bacterial small subunit ribosomal RNA", at positions 28 to 507 of the family's 1533-position model. The record is from RNAcentral.
GAUGAACGCUGACAGAAUGCUUAACACAUGCAAGUCAACUUGAAUUUGGGUUUUUAACUUAGGUUUGGGUGGCGGACGGGUGAGUAACGCGUAAAGAACUUGCCUCCCAGCUAGGGACGACAUUUGGAAACGAAUGCUAAUACCUAAUAUUAUGUUAAUAGGGCAUCCUAUAAUUAUGAAAGCUAUAAGCGCUGUGAGAGGGCUUUGCGUCCCAUUAGCUAGUUGGAGAGGUAACGGCUCACCAAGGCGAUGAUGGGUAGCCGGCCUGAGAGGGUGAUCGGCCACAAGGGGACUGAGACACGGCCCUUACUCCGACGGGAGGCAGCAGUGGGGAAUAGUGGACAAUGGACCGAGAGUCUGAUCCAGCAAUUCUGUGUGCACGAUGAAGUUUUUCGGAAUGUAAAGUGCUUUCAGUUGGGAAGAAACAAAUGACGGUACCAACAGAAGAAGUGACGGCUAAAUACGUG